CCUACGGGUGGCAGCAGUGAGGAAUAUUGGUCAAUGGGCGCGAGCCUGAACCAGCCAAGUCGCGUGAGGGAAGACGGCCCUACGGGAUGUAAACCUCUUUUGCCGGGGAGCAACGGGCGCCACGUGUGGCUCCACUGAGAGUACCCGAAGAAAAAGCAUCGGCUAACUCCGUGCCAGCAGCCGCGGUAAUACGGAGGAUGCGAGCGGUAUCCGGAUUGAUUGGGUUUAAAGGGUGCGUAAGCAGAGCGUUAAGUCAGUGGUCAAAUUGAGGGGCUCAACCCCUUCCCGCCAUUGAAACUGGCGCUCUUGAGUGGAAGAGAAGUAUGCGGAAUGCGUGGUGUAGCGGUGAAAUGCAUAGAUAUCACGCAGAACCCCGAUUGAGAAGGCAGCAUGCCGGCUUCCUACUGACGCUGAAGCACGAAAGCGUGGGGAUCGAACAGGAUUAGAUACCCCUGUAGUC
This 460-nucleotide ribosomal RNA is filed under the name uncultured bacterium. Its description in RNAcentral is "partial 16S ribosomal RNA". It matches the Rfam family "Bacterial small subunit ribosomal RNA", at positions 338 to 795 of the family's 1533-position model. The record is from RNAcentral.